This 90-nucleotide non-coding RNA is filed under the name Geosporobacter ferrireducens. Its description in RNAcentral is "c-di-GMP sequence". It matches the Rfam family "c-di-GMP-I riboswitch aptamer". From Rfam's summary of the family: GEMM was predicted in a large-scale screen for bacterial structured RNA regulatory elements. Genes associated with GEMM are involved in a diverse array of functions, including chemotaxis regulation, signal transduction, secretion and chitin. The record is from Rfam by way of RNAcentral. Lineage: Bacteria; Bacillati; Bacillota; Clostridia; Peptostreptococcales; Thermotaleaceae.
GGAUGAAAAGGGCUAACCAUACGAAAGCAUGGGGCGCAAAGUCAGCAUCUAAAGUAUGUAUAUGCAUACCAUGAUCGAAGGACUGCCAUA